UGGAUCACAGUCUGCUUUAUAGCAACCUUUUAUAUAAUAACAAGACAGCUUUUAGAGUAACUGAAAAAGAGGCGUUUGCUCACUUGCAAAGUCAGGACAUUCCCUGCCAAUGAACAUUCUUUGUCAGGGAUCCUUUGCCAGCAUAGGCUGAGCACUAAGCCCCACAAUCUGCAUUUUCCUUUUGAAUGACUCCCACAAAAUAAACCAAAUAUCACAUCCAAGGAGAUUUAUUACAUCCCUUCCAAGGGCGAAACAUUCCUCAGCUACAUUCCACUUCUGUCUUUUGUGCUUAGGAAAGGGGAAAAAAAUCUCUGUGAUGCCUCUGGAUCCCACCCCUCGAGGGCUUCUGUCAUUAAUAAAGCCGAGCAGCUGGAGCCAGAUUUCAGGCUACUUCUGAAUGGCUGGCGCAGCGCUGCUUGCGGGAGCAGCACCGCGAGGGCAUCGCGAGGCGGCCGGGGAGGAAUCCUGCCUCUGCUAAAGGACGGAUAAAUCGUGGCAAGGCAAUUCCUCAGUUCAAGCACCUCUUGCUGUUCUGAGUGACACCCUGUCCCUGUGGCAGCAGCUGCCAGAGUGGAUCUUCUCACUUCCUAGCUGCUCUGGCUUCUCCUGCCUCUGCAUGAUGCAAGAGCUUGCAAUGCUUUUCGGGAGCUUGGACGUGCUCUCCGGGACUCUGCUUGAAGCAAUUGCUCUCUCUAGGCUUUGCAGCGAAGCUUUUAUCCAGAUGUGUAAAGGAGGAUGUGUAUAGAGGGAGGGCAAGGGGGUGAAAUCUCUGUUGUGUUAUCUGAGCUUAAUUAAGCUUCUCCCUAAGCAGCCACUAAUUGAUUGACCCCAGGACUGCAAAAGGGAGCAAAUUUACCCGAGCUUAUUAGAAGUGCAGAGUUUAGAAUUUGACGUUUUUAUUUCAGAGAUGAAAACUUCUGACUGAUGCAUUGCUUACUGAUACCCAGUGAAACAAACACCACUCAAAAAAUGUUGUUAGUAGGUGGAUUUGGCUUCUUAAAUCCAAAUGAGAGAAGUGGUGUGUCCUCACAUGCCCUUUCAUCAUCAUUGUAUGCCACCAUUUAUAGGUAUCACUUAAUUGUAGCUCUGAUAUUCCUUUCUGCCCCAGCCUGGGCUGUGCUAACCAGCCUGUAGUCAGUUUGAAUCCAUUUCAGUUUCACAGGGUUCGGAAGUAUUUCCCAAAAUUGACAACAGAACCCCACCCCAAACCAAAAGUCUGUUCACCCACCAUGAAAUGCAGCAUCCACUGCAGAGGUGGGUGAGGCCAGCUCUGCGACAGCAUGGGGCAAUGCUGCAGCAUGAGCGUUCAUGAAGUGAAGGGGAGAAGAUGCUGUAUCCAUGGGGAGCCACAGGAGGAACGAAGGGAAGAGGAGCAUGCCCUCCCAACUGGCUGGGACACUGACUUUACCAAACAUACUGAGAUCAUUCCAGUCUGAUGGUGUUCAGAUCUGUCUUAUGCCAUUCAGCCCCCAGGCAGACCCACAACAGCACAGAGCAGGAUCUUGGCUUUUUGUUGGUGAUGUUUGACAUGAUGAAAGCUCACCCCACCGGGACUGAGACACAGUCUGAGACACAUGCAUGCCUGAAGGUGAUGGAGAACAACACGAGCAUGAGGCGGCUGGAAGAGCAGCCGCUGGCCAGGUGAAAGAAGGUAGUUUAAAGGCCAGCUUUCAAAAACAGCCCAGCCGAAGCUGUUGGUAUCACUCAGAGCCUUAUCUUUCACAGUGGCUCCAGUCAGCCUUAAAGCCAUCUCAGCUGGGCUUUAAAGCUAUUUGGAGCAUGGGGGGAAAGCCUUGGUGGGCUGGAAACUGAAGAAGUUGUGUGAGCAUCCUGGGUGUGAGGUGUUGCUGCAGAUUUGAACUUUCUCCAGUCAGCCCGUGAGCUGCUUCCCUUUUUGACCUCGCUAGGACAGACUGGUGUCCCAUUCCCUCCUAUUCUCUGUCCCUGAGAUGCUCACCUCUCCCUUCCCAAGAGGUUUCCAUGUAUUCUGCAAAGCUUUGCAGGGACUUGAUGAAACCGUCAGCUGAGCAGCACCAUGGAAAAAUGACACCUAUAUUACACAUUUUUUACCACUAAUACAGCUUUGCAGCCGUGGCUGCCUAGCCCUGUCCUAGUCCUGUUUGUCUGUAGGCCCUGAGCACUCUGGAGGUGCUGACCUGUCUCUUCUGUUAUGUUCAACAUCAGCGAGCAUUGACAGGAAGGUGCCAACUUUCAUGCUGUGUUCGAAGGGCGCUGGUUUGUGGGGUCCCUGUGGUAGCUGCAAGAGUACGUCUCAAGGCGUACCUGUGAGGAAGAGGGACUGCUGUUCUCUCAGAGGUGAAGUAGCAUUUGUCAGCCAGGAGAACUGACCCUCCAGAAGAUGCUGUUGAGGAACGAGAGAAAGCCUGGUGUCUCCUCUCUGGAGCACACAGGCUUCUCCAUCCUGAGGAGGACACUUGAGACCCUCACAACCCUCCCCCUCCCGCCUUCUCUGUCAGCCUCUUUCUCUUUCUUCUUUUCCUCUCUCCUCAACCACACCCACUAUUUAACCAUUUAGACAUAAAAAUAAAAAAUAAAAAACCACCCAACCCACUAGACAGAGGGUUUGCUAAAGAAGGGUAAUUUUAAAAGUAAGUCUUUGAGGUCAGCGGGUAAUUGUAACAUUGGGACUGUGCGAUCCAAGACAAAAAUACUCCGCUGGGUAUCUGGUCAAGGAGGAGAGGAUGGCAGCCUGCUGUGAGGGAAGAGCGACUUACACAGGAUGGGUCAGGCAGCGAAAGACCGGGCAAACCUACCUGCUGGCACCAGGACAAAUGUUUGUGUGGGACACUGCAAGAUGCUCGGCCUGCGAUGGGAUCAGAGAGCUGCUACGGCCUUGUAGGCCGCGCCCUGCUGUCGGACACUAAGCAGCCUUUCACCUCUGUCCUUCCUAAAACUGAGCUGCUCUCACGUUUGCUCCCAGGUGAAAGCACCAUAAAAAUCAGGCUUUUACUGUGAAAGAAGUUAAGAGUACCUGAAUUAAUGCCUCUUUUGUUUUCAUUGCAGGAUGCCCGGCCACCAGCUCUCCAAGCUUUCACCACAGUUCAGCACUUCCCCUUCCCAAACCACUGUCUGGCCAUGAAAGGGAUUUAUUUUUAAUCAGAGGCCAGCAGCGGCUGCAGGGGUCUUUACUUUGUGACCUUCAAUUCUGUUUCUAGGAGGAGACAGUGGGUUUCAGUACCUUCUUGCUGUGGCCGUCCCUGGGUCAACCCUUCCCAGAACAAAUGCCACUGAUGCAGGAGGGCUCGCUGCUUCCCCUUUAUUUAAGUGCUGGUUACAUAGCUCCGCCAGGAUCCGUUGCAGUCGUAAACCACGCUCCAGGGAUGAGCAAUUUAGGGUUUGGAGUGGACCAGCCCUGGAGACCUCAUGCAAUUGUUUUUCAUCUUUCUUACACCCACAGAUUUGCUAGAGGAGAGUUGCGCAGAACCCAGAGAGUUUCUGACUUGAAUUUGAGUUGGGAAAGACACACAAAAGAAAGGAAUUUGUGUUGUAAAUUAGAUUUCUCAAAUUUCAGUGAUUUGUCAUGGAAAUGUGGUUCAAUCUAUGCAGUCAUAAAAAACAUUUCACAUGUUCAGCCCCUUCUUGUGCUAUUAACUUCCCCAGUGUGGCAUGGUACAGCGACUGUAGGAGGUAAGGUUACUUUCAAAUCGGCUGUGGCAGAACACAGACUCAGCACCCCAGCUGGGGAAGCAUUAAACCUGCAAAAUGAGGAUUAACCUAGAAAACAUUCCUCGGGUCUACUGAUCUAUGCUGGAGGACUGGAUUUUUGGCUUGAGUUGUUUUCUGCCCCUUCCGAAGUUUCCAGUGGGGCACAAGCCUCUGCUGCUCUGUUUUGCUCCUGGCUGUUCCCCCUGCAAUUGCUGCUCCGAAGUCGAAAUGACUGCCCCAGCUGGAACCUGCAGCCCUGGCGUGACUACGCCUUGGCAGGGGCAAGGGUGACCGAAAGCCUUCCCGCUGCGCUGCGCCCCAAAGUGAAGUCUGCCAUUCACGGCCCAGGCCGUGGGGGUGGUCUGAAAAUAACAGUGUUGAAAACGGUGAGCGGGGAUUUCGUGCGUCUGCCUGCGUCAUGGCUGGGAGUGCACCUUCAGCCGGGUCUCUGCAACCAUCAGAAGUCGCCUAAGGGAAGAGCGGGGAAGGUGAGGAGCUCCCACACUGUCAGGCCUCCAUGUGCUCACCCCUUAGGAAAUGCACUGGAUGUCCCGCGACUCCCGGAGAAAGAAAAAGAUCUGUGGAUGCUGUUAUCCCCGUUCGCCACCCGGCCCCGAAUCUCUCGUUUCUCUGCCUUUGGCGGCGCAGCUGCCCUCGGGUGUGCUUGUGCAUCGCAUUCGGGCUCUUCGGAGGCGAGGCCAGCACAGAGAGGGGCAGGGGAGCUGGCUGCUCCCAGCGACAUUUCUGCGCGCCCGCCCGCAUCUGUCGCCAUGGCAAUGCGCGUCUGGGGCUGAGCAGAGCGUGUCUUCCCUCAAGUUGUGAGUGGAGCUCAGCGUUAUUUAUUUAAAGCCAGCCGUAAUGAGCGAUAGAGAGCGGAGAGGCACGUUACAAAUCCCCUUGCGCAGGCCGUCGCCAAAUGAGUCAGAGGCACCGCAGGCUUUAAUCAGCCCACCUGACGUCAAAGCUCUCCAUCAGAGGAAAGUGCCGCCUGGAAAUGUCAACAUGCCCAAGUGGGAAGGCCAGAAGCCGUGUGGGACGGGGCUCUCAGUUUAUAGGACCUUGCUGACACAAGCCCCAGACCUGGCCAGAACGAGGUGUCACCACCAGGAACAGAGGCUCUUCAGUGCUGCCUGUGGAUCCAGACCUCCCUGUUAACCCCUGGCCCCCUGCUCCUGCAGACCCCUGCGUGCCCGCUCUGCUGGGCGGAUCCUCCUCUGCUGUCCUGAGCUUCUCACGCACCCAAAUUUCCUGAAGGGAGGUUAUUUAGAGCAUUCUGAUAAUGGGUUGUGCCUUCGGCUGCCAGCAGACUGCUGGAGGAGAUGCCCACACGCCGAAGUUACCCUUCCCUCAGUUGUCACCCUGAAAGUUGUGUGGUGCUCCAGCAAUGAAACGGGAAAGCUGAGAUACAGACCAGGUGAGGCAGAGGGCUGCUCUUAGUCCACCAUGGAGAACUGAAGGAGGUACAAACCAAUUUUUCCCCUUCAUCGAUUACCUCCAAAGUAGCAAGUUUUCAGUCCCCACCGUCCGCUAUUCACCCCUUAACCAUCUGGAGGCUUCGCUUUCUGGCCUGCCUGAUCCUGCCACCAGCAGCUCAGCUGCCUUCAUGAGGGGUCGAGGGGCUCUGUGCUGGAGCAAGCCUGGGCUCUCUGGUCUCAUGUUCAAGGCUUUUCUUUCCCCAGGUCUUGGACUCCCUGCUUCCCUGCCUGCUGGCCCAGAAGACUGAUGGGGACCUCUCCAAGGGCCUAAAGUUCACCCCAGGAAGAAUAAUAAUUGCGGCACCGAGCUCUGCGGCUUCCCUUUCAUUCCCCACAUAGCACCAGGGUGCUCACUGAAACCACAGCAUUCAUGGAUCCCUGCCAUAUGCAAACAUGCAAUUAAUACGCUCUUCACUUUCCCCUGCACUUCCCAGGCGAGGGGGGAAAGAAAGCACGAGCUGUGCUGUACGUUCCCUUCACACGCGCGCGUGCGUGUGUUUGCGCCUCGCUCAAGUGCUCCGGCACGUCUUGCACCUAGCUGGGCUCAGCAGUUCCCCGUGAAAUGUGUCUGCUCGCAGGCAGAGCUUCACUUUGGUGCAGCACCCGCUCUGUGCAGCUGCACGCAAGGCAAGGCGAGCAAUGCGACCUGCUCCCUCUCAGCACAGCGGCAGCAGGUUCACAAUUUCACGGGUCUCCCCCUGGGGUGGAAAAUAGCGCAGCUAGGUGUGAUUUCCUCCCUGCUGGCUGCAGGAGCAGGUGCUCCGGUACCUGCCUAGGAGGCAGGGAAUAGGGAGCAGCUGGAGGGAAAAGUGUCUAAACACACCGCUGGAAGGAAAUCAAAACGGAGCCGGAUUUCCCGGAUGAGGCGGGGCUGUUGAACACAGGGCAGAGAGCGACUCUGGCAUCUGCAAGUCCUUCCUCGAAAGUUGCCUCUUGCUAGAAGAUGAUUUUUCUAGAUUCCUCACCCCCUGCCGUCACUUUUUCACAGGUUUUGAAUUGUUCCCACAAAAACUACAUGAAGUCACAGCCUGAGAGCUGGGUCUAGAACUACUCGUGUCCUCACACACCGUCCCAAGGGACCGCCUGGGGGCUGCCGUGCCUCUUCCGUGGACGAGGCCAGGUCCUGUUUCCAUCCUCACCAUGUUCUCCACGAGAACCCCGGCCAGAGGAUCCCUCCUGUAGCACAGCGGUGCGCAUGCAGCAAACCAAAAACCACUGACGUAUGCAGUUCGCCCCACAUUCCUCAAGAAACACUCAUCUGCGAGUUUGUGAAACCUCCUGGCUCGCUCCGGGGGAAACAAAAGCUCCAGCUUUGCAGGCUGCACCGUGCCCUGGAUUGCUGCACACGUGUCCCAGCGCAGAGCCCGGUCCCCUCGCCUUGUGCAACAAGGGACUUGCAUUUCCCACUCUCUCCCCACAGCCGUGAAGGUGUGCAGAGGCAGCAAGACAGGGCAGAGCAGAGUAAGAGAGAGCUGGAUGCUUUUGUCAUGAGAACGGGGCUGAUUAUUCCCUUAUCAGCAAUGAUAAAAUGAUCUUGGGCAUCCAUGUGCAUCCGCAGCAUCAAACGCUGCAAGGCCAGGAAGGCUUAUCUGCUGUCGGUUUGAGACUUGAUCAGUCUAAGCACACUCGGCUGCUGUUUCAGUCCCGUGCUGCAAUCAGAUUGCAAAUAAAUCUAAAUAUAAGAUCAGAGACAAUAGAGCUGAAAAGGAAUUUGAGCCAUCACGUGGUGCCGCCCCUACCCAAAGGCUGGCUACAGAUCAGCCUUAUAUGCGUCCCAAGAGAAGUCUGCAGGACUUGCUUGUAAAAAUGCUCCGGUGAGGGACACAUUGCCGCUGCCCAGACACCUCGUAGUACCUUUGUGUCAGUAUUUCUGUGACCUGAUCUAAAGUUUUCUUACUAAGGAGUGAGUCUGUUACCGCUCAGCCCCCCAGCAUGGCGAUGAAGAGAGAUGAUGGUCCUCCUGCCUCCCACAGCUGUCUGAAUGCCUGCAGACUGCAGGCACAGGAGCCUUCCCGCUACGCCAAAGCAGCCCAAUUCCCUCCAUCCGUUUUUAGGACCCCUUUUUCUCCACUGCCUGUCAUUCUCUCUGCCCUCCUCUGGCCUCCGCCCUGAUAUCCCCAUCUUGCUCCAGGUGUCGCACCCCCGAUGGGUAUGGCAUUUUGGCUAUUCCACACCGGUCCUCAGCCGAGCGGAAGGGGAAUUCUACACGUGUUAAAGGUUUUGCGGGAGGAUUCCUAAAUUUAUACCCCAGCGUGCCACUUGUCUUUUUCACAGCCACGCUUUUGGCUCCCGAGGGUCAGCAGCAACACUCAGGGAGGUGACGUUUGCACUGCCCAGUUUCGGUGUUUAGAGAUCUUUUAGUCUUCAGAACAGACCUUACAAUUCCUGUCCGAAUGUGUCAAAGCAUUUUUCCCUUCGGGCGCUGACAAACGAGCGAGGUUUUCUUUGCUUGACCUUUGGGCCGCCCGUGCUGCGCACGCAGCAGCCGCAGCUCACAGCACCUCGUCCUGCCGGCCUCGCGCCGAGGGCAAACACAGCGCGUGUCCCGAGAGGAGGCUGCCUUGCGCUCGUGUGGGCGAGGCGUGGAACCAAACAUCCGUGUUUGGCCAUGGAUUUUACCAUUCCUUUACUGUUAAGGAGCAAGCACAGCCCUCGUCUCCAUGCGGAGGGAGUGUGCACCCGUGUGGGGUUCACCCUGCGGGGACGGGGCAGCCCGGAGAGGUGCUCGUCCUCGGUGGGAGAACUCUGAGGUGGCCCUGUGCCGCAGCCCAUGGUUUGUUCCCAGUUUGUUACCACCACCACGGGAUCCAAGUGCCACUCUAUGGGAACAGCGAGCAUCUCACCUGUUUAGACGAUGAUUUCCAAAUGCCGUUCCUCCCUCGUAUAAGUAAGAAAUUAAAAGACUUUGCGGGAACAGCAGUGCGACUCCAUCUUGGCUGAAUUUAUGUCUUUGACCCUUUCACCCAAAGGCUCUUUACACUUGACUGAAACAUGAGGUAAAAGUAAAUGUGAAUGAAAGAGCCCAUUGUGUGUGCAAGCAUAAAGGCUUUUGUGUGCAGGAGGCAGCGUGCGGCCGGUCGUGCGAGGAGCAGCCCAGGAGUGCCGGGGUUGUGCUGUCAGUGCUGGGACCCGCGGGGAGCACGGAGCACGAGCCUGUGGUGGCCGUGCAGAAGGAACCCCGGGGCUUGGCCGGGGGAUUUUCAAAUGUGGGUCUGGCCUUGGGACGCCGGCCUGUUCUCCGCAGAGCCGUGGAGCAGGGACACACUGAGGCAGCGCCGGGGCUCCUUCGGCGGGAUCACUAUAACUGGUUUUCCCGCUGGUGGUGGGAGCAAGGCUCAGAGGGGACGGGGAUCCACAACCCUAUUUACCUGAGGCCAUCUAAGCUGCCCGAAGCUCUUUACCGGUGCCCAACUCCCUAAUCACACAGCAGCCCAGGGGCUGCCUCAGCCGGGCCCUGCCCGCGGCGCCUCGGGGCCGGGGGUCGCCGCGCUGCCCCGGGGGGCUACCGAGGGG
Long non-coding RNA from Cygnus olor (mute swan), 8654 nucleotides. RefSeq lists it as uncharacterized. The transcript is spliced from 3 exons. NCBI's taxonomy places the organism in Eukaryota, Metazoa, Chordata, Aves, Anseriformes, Anatidae. The record is from RefSeq and is a predicted model, not a curated record.